CUGAAAAGUAGCUAGGGAUUCCAACUAGGUGAGAAGGAGAGUGGGGCAGAGCCAGACCAGACAAGGACUGAUCACCUGGAAAAAGCCUGCCAUCAAAGGUCUUGGCAAAUGCUGGGUGCAGUGGCUCACUCCUGUAAUCCCAGCACUUUGCGGGGCUGAGACAGGUGGACUACUUGAGGCAAGGAGUUCGAGUCCAGCUUGGGCAACAUGGCAAAACCCCAUCUCUACUAGAAAUACAAAAAUUAGCUAGGCAUGCUACACUCCUGUAAUCCCAGCUACUCAGGAGACUGAGGCAGGAGAAUCACUUGAACUGGGGAGGCAGAGGUCGAAGUGAGCUGAGAUUGUGCCCCUGCACUCCAGUCUGGGAGACAGAGUGAAACUGGCCUCAAAAAAAAAAAAAAAAAAGAAUAUGGCCUUGGCAGAGAGGGGCCAGCCCAGCAGUGCCUUCCCUUGGGUUUCUCCUGGGUAGGCCUCCGCCAUGAGGAGGUGCUUCCUUCUGCCUGUCCAUGGCCCACAGCAAUGUAAUGUCUGCUUCUGGGGGUUGGGUGGGAGACUGCUGGCAGAACUGGAAACCUUCAGGUGGGGUUUUUUUGUUUUGUUUUGUUUUCGAGAUGGAGCGUCUCUCUGUCACCCAGGCUGGAGUGCAGUGGUGGAAUCUCAGUUCACUGCAACCUCCGCCCCACUGGGUUCAAACAAUUCUCCUGUCUCAGCCUCCUGAGUAGCUGAGAUUACAGGCAUGUGCCACCAUGCCUGGCUAGUUUUUUAUUUUUUGUAUAGAUGGCAUUUCACCAUGUUGGCUGGGCUGGUCUCGAGCUCCUGACCUCAAGUGAUCCACCCACCUCGGCCUCCCAAAGUGCUGGGAUUACAGGCAUGAGCCACUGAGCCCAGCCCCUUCAGGGGGGUUUUGAGGCUUCACUACAAUACUAGUUUCCUGUGGCUGCUGCAACAAAUUACCACACACUUAGUGACUUAAAACAACGAAAAUGUAUUCCCUUACAGGUCUGAAGGCCAGAAUUCUACAGUAAGUCCUACUGAGUCAAGGUGGGAGCAGGGUCGGUGGCUUCCGAGGCUCUGCGGGAGAAUCCGUUUCCUGGCCGUAGAGGUGGCCUGCACUCCUCAGCUUGUGCUGCCCGUCUCGAAUUACUGGAGUUUCCUGCUUCUGUCACUACACCUCCCACCCUCUCCCAUCACCUGCUCUGCUCUUACAAGGAUCCGAAGAAGUGGAAUAAUCGUAUCGCUGAUCUAUGUAAACAAAUUGAAGAAUUGUCUGAAAGAAAAUAUGGUAUGUCUAAACUGGAAAAGUCCUGUAAUCUUAUGUUCAUGGGUGUUUACACAAUGGAGUUACUCUUCAUCAUGGGGGUACCGUGGACAAGCCCAGGGCUGCCGGCGAGUCAUGCCAUCCUUACACGUUUCUCCUUGUAAGGUGCUUUGUAGUGUCUACACACUUUGUUUCUAGAUUGCUGCAAAGCUGAGGAAAAGUUGUAUUUCUUUAGUUAUUAGUUAGCAUUUCUUUUAAACUUUCAGUAUGGAGAUUGGAAAUUUAUUUACAUAUUUAUUGCAAAGCCCUGGAUCUUAGGGAUUUCAUUGAAUUAUUUAUUUAUUUUUUUUGAGACGGAGCCUCACUCUAUCGCCCAGGCUGGAGUGCAGUGGCACGAUCUCGGCUCACUGCAACCUCCGCCUCCCGGGUUCAAGCAGUUCUCUGCCUCAGCCUCCUGAGCAGCUAGGAUUACAGGCACCAGCCACCACGCCUGGCUGAUUUUUGUAUUUUUAGUAGAGACGGGGUUUCAUGAUCUUGGCUAGGCUGGUCUUGAACUGCUGACCUCCUGAUCCACUCACCUCAGCCUCCCAAAGUGCUGGGAUUACAGGUGUGAGCCGCCACGCCUGGCCAAAUAUUAUUUUUUUAAAUGAAUUGUUUCUCUUAGUCUGCUUUGUUAAAUUUGGAAUUCAUCUGGGUGCGGUGGCUCACACCUGUAAUCCCAGCACUUUGGGAGGCCAAGGCAGGCAGAUAUCUAGGUCGGGAGUUCGAGACCAGCCUGACCAACAUGGAGAAACCCCGUCUCUACUAAAAAUACAAAAUUAGACGGGUGUGGUGGCACAUGUCUGUAAUCCCAGCUAUUCGGGAGGCCAAGGCAGGAGAAUCGCUUGAACCCAGGAGGCAGAGGUUGUGGUGAGCCGAGGUUGCACCAUUGCACUCUAGCCUGGGCAAAAAGAGCAAAACUCCAUCUCAAAAUAAAUAAAUAAAUAAAAUGUUCAGUACUCACCAAGGUGCCCCUAUUGUCUCUACUUUUAUCUUGAUGCAUCACUGAAUUGAUGUUAGAUUUCAAAUUCAUCAUUGUCCUUACACUAUUCUAUCCUGAAGCCACCUUUAUAUAGUGAUGAAAGAAAUUAGUGAUUUGUUAUUAUCCUCUCUCUGUUGGUAUACAUCAAAUGCUCACCUAAAAAGAGCAACAACCAGUGGAAAACACAUGAUGUUUUUAUUUGGGUGACUAUUUACUUGUAACCUACUAGCAAACUAUAAAAUUGUAUGAUAUGCAGAAUUUUAACUGAAUUGCUUUAAGUGAACAUUUAA
Long non-coding RNA from Pan troglodytes (chimpanzee), 2569 nucleotides. NCBI's taxonomy places the organism in Eukaryota, Metazoa, Chordata, Mammalia, Primates, Hominidae. The record is from Ensembl.